CUACGGGGGGCUGCAGUGAGGAAUUUUGCGCAAUGGGGGGAACCCUGACGCAGCAACGCCGCGUGAGUGAUGAAGGCUUUCGGGUCGUAAAGCUCUGUCAAGUGGGAAGAACCUAUGCAGUGUUAAUAUCACUGUAUACUGACGGUACCACUGAAGGAAGCACCGGCUAACUCCGUGCCAGCAGCCGCGGUAAUACGGGGGGUGCAAGCGUUAUUCGGAAUCAUUGGGCGUAAAGGGCACGUAGGCGGCUUGGUAAGUCAGAUGUGAAAGCCCGGGGCUUAACCCCGGAAGUGCAUUUGAUACUGUCAGGCUUGAGUAUGGGAGAGGGAAGUGGAAUUCCUGGUGUAGAGGUGAAAUUCGUAGAUAUCAGGAGGAACACCGGUGGCGAAGGCGACUUCCUGGACCAAUACUGACGCUGAGGUGCGAAGGCGUGGGUAGCAAACAGGAUUAGAUGCCCUAGUAGUC
Molecule: ribosomal RNA, 465 nt
Filed under: uncultured bacterium
Lineage: Bacteria
Description: partial 16S ribosomal RNA
Rfam family: Bacterial small subunit ribosomal RNA
Source: RNAcentral